This 270-nucleotide ribosomal RNA is filed under the name uncultured archaeon. RNAcentral's name for it is "partial 16S ribosomal RNA". It matches the Rfam family "Archaeal small subunit ribosomal RNA", at positions 477 to 747 of the family's 1478-position model. The record is from RNAcentral.
CAGCACCUCAAGUGGUCAGGAUGAUUAUUGGGCCUAAAGCAUCCGUAGCCUGCUUUGUUAGUUUUCGGUUAAAUCCAUACGCUCAACGUAUGGGCUGCCGGGAAUACUGCAGCGCUAGGGAGUGGGAGAGGUAGACGGUACUCGGUAGGAAGGGGUAAAAUCCUUUGAUCUAUUGAUGACCACCUGUGGCGAAGGCGGUCUACCAGAACACGUCCGACGGUGAGGGAUGAAAGCUGGGGGAGCAAACCGGAUUAGAGACCCGCGUAGUCC